CAUGCAGUCGAACGAUGAAGCCCUUCGGGGUGGAUUAGUGGCGAACGGGUGAGUAACACGUGGGCAAUCUGCCCUUCACUCUGGGACAAGCCCUGGAAACGGGGUCUAAUACCGGAUACGAGUUCGGGAGGCAUCUCCCGGACUGGAAAGCUCCGGCGGUGAAGGAUGAGCCCGCGGCCUAUCAGCUUGUUGGUGGGGUAAUGGCCUACCAAGGCGACGACGGGUAGCCGGCCUGAGAGGGCGACCGGCCACACUGGGACUGAGACACGGCCCAGACUCCUACGGGAGGCAGCAGUGGGGAAUAUUGCACAAUGGGCGAAAGCCUGAUGCAGCGACGCCGCGUGAGGGAUGACGGCCUUCGGGUUGUAAACCUCUUUCAGCAGGGAAGAAGCGAGAGUGACGGUACCUGCAGAAGAAGCGCCGGCUAACUACGUGCCAGCAGCCGCGGUAAUACGUAGGGCGCAAGCGUUGUCCGGAAUUAUUGGGCGUAAAGAGCUCGUAGGCGGCUUGUCACGUCGGGUGUGAAAGCCCGGGGCUUAACCCCGGGUCUGCAUCCGAUACGGGCAGGCUAGAGUGUGGUAGGGGAGAUCGGAAUUCCUGGUGUAGCGGUGAAAUGCGCAGAUAUCAGGAGGAACACCGGUGGCGAAGGCGGAUCUCUGGGCCAUUACUGACGCUGAGGAGCGAAAGCGUGGGGAGCGAACAGGAUUAGAUA
RNAcentral lists this ribosomal RNA (712 nucleotides) under Streptomyces sp. YIM 56153. Its description in RNAcentral is "bacterial SSU rRNA". It matches the Rfam family "Bacterial small subunit ribosomal RNA", at positions 54 to 784 of the family's 1533-position model. Lineage: Bacteria; Bacillati; Actinomycetota; Actinomycetes; Kitasatosporales; Streptomycetaceae. The record is from RNAcentral.